UACGGAGGGUGCAAGCGUUAUCCGGAAUCAUUGGGUUUAAAGGGUCCGCAGGCGGUCUUAUAAGUCAGUGGUGAAAUCUCUCAGCUUAACUGAGAAACUGCCAUUGAUACUAUAGGACUUGAAUGUGGUCGAAGUGGGCGGAAUAUGACAUGUAGCGGUGAAAUGCAUAGAUAUGUCAUAGAACACCGAUAGCGAAGGCAGCUCACUAGGCCAUAAUUGACGCUCAUGGACGAAAGCGUGGGGAGCAAACAGG
This 253-nucleotide ribosomal RNA is filed under the name uncultured bacterium. Its description in RNAcentral is "partial 16S ribosomal RNA". It matches the Rfam family "Bacterial small subunit ribosomal RNA", at positions 524 to 776 of the family's 1533-position model. The record is from RNAcentral.